GAGUUGAUCAUGGCUCAGGAUGAACGCUGGCGGCGUGCCUAAUACAUGCAAGUCGAACGAGGUGGAUGGGAGCUGCUCCUUGAUACCGAGUGGCGAACGGGUGAGUAACACGUAGGUAACCUACCUUACAGUUGGGAUACCCGAGGGAAACCUUGGCUAAUACCGGAUAAUUCUUUAGGAGGCAUCUCCUGAAGCUAAAAAGGGGCUCCAAAGCCUCGCUGAAAGAUGGACCUGCGGCGCAUUAGCUAGUUGGUGAGAUAACAGCCCACCAAGGCGAGGAUGCGUAGCCGACCUGAGAGGGUGAACGGCCACACUGGAACUGAGACACGGUCCAGACUCCUACGGGAGGCAGCAGUAGGGAGUUUUCGGCAAGUGGGGGAAACCCUGACCGAGCAACGCCGCGUGAGUGAUGAAGGUCUUCGGAUUGUAAAGCUCUGUUGGUAGGGGAAGAAUGAUAGCUUGAGGAAAUGCUAGCUAUUUGACGGUACCUUAUUAGAAAGCCACGGCUAACUACGUGCCAGCCGCCGC
Molecule: ribosomal RNA, 528 nt
Filed under: uncultured bacterium
Lineage: Bacteria
Description: bacterial SSU rRNA
Rfam family: Bacterial small subunit ribosomal RNA
Source: RNAcentral